GUAGGGAAUCUUCCGCAAUGGGCGAAAGCCUGACGGAGCAACGCCGCGUGAGUGAUGAAGGUCUUCGGAUCGUAAAACUCUGUUAUUAGGGAAGAACAUAUGUGUAAGUAACUGUGCACAUCUUGACGGUACCUAAUCAGAAAGCCACGGCUAACUACGUGCCAGCAGCCGCGGUAAUACGUAGGUGGCAAGCGUUAUCCGGAAUUAUUGGGCGUAAAGCGCGCGUAGGCGGCUUUUUAAGUCUGAUGUGAAAGCCCACGGCUCAACCGUGGAGGGUCAUUGGAAACUGGAAAACUUGAGUGCAGAAGAGGAAAGUGGAAUUCCAUGUGUAGCGGUGAAAUGCGCAGAGAUAUGGAGGAACACCAGUGGCGAAGGCGACUUUCUGGUCUGUAACUGACGCUGAUGUGCGAAAGCGUGGGGAUCAAACAGGAUUAGAUACCCUGGUAGUCCACGCCGUAAACGAUGAGUGCUAAGUGUUAGGGGGUUUCCGCCCCUUAGUGCUGCAGCUAACGCAUUAAGCACUCCGCCCGGGGAGUACGACCGCAAGGUUG
This 551-nucleotide ribosomal RNA is filed under the name uncultured bacterium. RNAcentral describes it as "bacterial SSU rRNA". It matches the Rfam family "Bacterial small subunit ribosomal RNA", at positions 354 to 896 of the family's 1533-position model. The record is from RNAcentral.